Long non-coding RNA from Phyllostomus discolor (pale spear-nosed bat), 739 nucleotides. RefSeq lists it as uncharacterized. Lineage: Eukaryota; Metazoa; Chordata; Mammalia; Chiroptera; Phyllostomidae. The transcript has 2 exons. The record is from RefSeq and is a predicted model, not a curated record.
UACAAGGUCUGUCCAGAAAAAGUCCAGCCAUUGUCACUAUAACAAGAACAGUUUGUGCGAUAUCGAUAUGAAUGGAGCCAAGGACAGUGGAUGGGAACGUGCAUGCAUGAACAAUGAUAACUUCACUGUACCAAGUGGAAACAGUACAAGAAAUGGCCUUGAGGGAAAGGGAGUACCAAUCCUGCAAAGCCUUUGCAAUUGCCUUCAAUUAUAAUGGAGGCUGUGUGCACACAUUCUCUGAAGAGAGACCCACCCAAGGGUUUCUGAUUUUCUGCUCACACAUUGCUUGGAGAGAGACAAGCUGUCAAAAAACCAUAAAGAACCAUUUUAAGAAAUAAAUUGAAGCUUUCAUCUCGUCAAAAAUGUGUGAUUAGAAAAAUAAAUUGUAUAGCUCUUUCAAAUUACAAUCAUAAAAAUAAAAAAUACUGUUAUAUACAUCCUACUUGCAUGUAAUGACAUAGGGUCUACAAGACUGAGUUCCUGGUAUUUAUUUUUAUUUCCAUCUUGAACUUGAAGCUUUCAAUGAGCUCUUUGGAAGAGACAACUGACAGUUUUCUUAUUCAUUCUAAGAAUCUGUGAAUGUAUUUUAUGCACAGCAAAAUAAAAGACUGGGUAAGAUAAUAUGGAAUGGUGUAGACACUGUUCUGACUAAAUAAUAAUGACAAUUAUUAUUAUGUAACUACAGAGAAAUAAUAUUAAUUGGCAUUAUUACUCCCAAAGAACAGGUAUUCAAAGUGUU